CGGUUGUAGAGACUAGCAAACCAUCUCGUUUUCUUUGUCCUCAGUAGGGUCAGUGUAACUUCAUUGUAAUUAGAAUUUUUUGAGCUUGCUGAUUUUAAAAACUUGUUGGUUUAACACAAGAUGUUAUUUUUUGACUAAGCUGCGAAGCUGCUCUGUUGGGGGCGAUAUCAGAUAGGAGUGUGACAUUGAUCUAUUAGGCUACUUAUGGAUGGAGGGCAGCGUUGGAAGACUGCUGCCCAAUGCGUUGAAGUGAUGGAGCUCGGCAGAGGCGGAGUCUGAACCGCUGCACAUUUGAUCAAAUGUAGAGGCACGACUCGUGUAAUUCCUGCAUUGCCCUUUCAGCAGCACGAGCACACUUCAAAACUAAAGUGGACAGCGCGCUGAAACCCUCCAGUUCGUUACAGCUUGUACCCCAGCUCUGUGCGAAUCAUGGAUGAGGACUUUGAUUUUGAGCAUCGCAGAGAGUUACGGAGACAAAAGCGAGAAGAGAUGCAGCGGGAGGCAGAGAAGAUGAACUCUCACGAUGAUGAUGAGGAAGCGGCCCGGGAGCGCCGGAGACGAGCUCGUCAGGAACGCCUGCGCAAUAUGGAGAAUGAGGAGUCGAAUAACACCAUAACAGAAACUAACACGUAGAUCCAUCCAAAAACAGUUUUCUCAUGCAUUUUGCA
RNAcentral lists this long non-coding RNA (668 nucleotides) under Sinocyclocheilus grahami. RNAcentral's name for it is "lncRNA (ENSSGRG00000026550.1)". Lineage: Eukaryota; Metazoa; Chordata; Actinopteri; Cypriniformes; Cyprinidae. The record is from RNAcentral.